GGAUGUGAGGGUGAUCUGGCUGCAACGUCUGUCACCCCCUUGAUUACCAGGGUUGAUUCUGCUGAUCUCUCUGGCUAGGCGGGUGUCCCCUUCCUCCCUCACUGCUCCAUGUGCGUCCCUCCUGAAGUUACGUGCUCAGUCCAAGAGGACGGCUUUUCCCGAAUAGAGACAGACCAACUGGUCUUCCAUCAAGAGUAUAUGAGUAGCUGCGCUCCUCUGCUAGAACCUCCAAACAAGCUCUCAAGGAAAUGUAAUAAAAAGUCACAUGAUACCACAAAGAAGCAGAGAAAACUACAGGAUAUGGAUAUAUUCCACAGGAAAACUAUUCAAUUUUUGU
Molecule: small nuclear RNA, 337 nt
Filed under: Erinaceus europaeus (western European hedgehog)
Lineage: Eukaryota; Metazoa; Chordata; Mammalia; Eulipotyphla; Erinaceidae
Description: 7SK RNA
Rfam family: 7SK RNA
About the family: 7SK was discovered as an abundant small nuclear RNA in the mid-70s but a possible function has only recently been suggested. Two independent studies have found that 7SK RNA binds the CDK9/cyclin T complex (known as elongation factor P-TEFb).
Source: Rfam by way of RNAcentral